Molecule: long non-coding RNA, 3303 nt
Organism: Vitis riparia (riverbank grape)
Lineage: Eukaryota; Viridiplantae; Streptophyta; Magnoliopsida; Vitales; Vitaceae
Exons: 4
Source: RefSeq, a predicted model, not a curated record
GCAAAGAGACCCCUAGAACAGAUCCAGAAAGCACAGGGAGCAAAAAUGUAAAAUAAAAUUUCCGUCUUUGAUCAUCUCUCUCUAUCCGAUAUUUCCGUCUCGUCUCUUCGGUUUUCUCCUCAUUUUCCUUUCCCGUGUCUCGUAGAGCCUAUGCUUCCUUUAAAACUAAUGUGCUUGCUGAUGAUCAAGACUGUGAAUGUCGUGGAUCGAAUCAAUGUUUUAGCAGAUUUGAAGACAGCCAAGCCUCUCGAACUGCCGCCUUCUCUGAAGUCAGGAAUUGUGUCAUCCUUUACCUUAGGAGUCAGAAAUGGACAAAACUCUGUGGUCAGGAUUUGCAUGGUGCUUCUUCAGAAUGGGCCCUCACUUUCUUACCAGUGGGUGUAAUAUAGUAGGCAUCCAAUAUAGAGAAAUCUUUGCUCAGCACCAACUGGGGUCUUUUGGAUGUUUGGCUUGUCAACAACCCAGGUUCGAGUAGCAUCAUAGUUGGUAUUAGUGGGGUCCUCACAAGAGACAUCCACUUUCUUGUUGCAAAAAAAUGGUUCCUCUGUGACUCUACUUCUGAUCUCCUCAUACUCUUCUUGUGUGCCAAUCAGCCUCCAUUUGAAGCAUGCUCCAAAUCGGACAGCAUAUGCACCAAUUGAGCUGCGGACCAAUGCUGAUUGCUGUUAUGAAAAAUGAAAAGCAGUGCUGGUACAGUUAAAUUUUUAAGAAGCUAGAUUGACACAUAAGAUGGAUGAUGAUCCUUCAAAGAGAAGGAAGGGGGGCUUGGGUGUGAGGUGUCUUUCAACGAUGAACAAAGCUCUUCUUUGCAAGUGGAGUUGGUGUUUUGCCAAUGAAAGAGGGGCACUUUGGAAGCAAGUCAUUAAUCAGAAGUAUGGUGAGGAUAUAGGGGUAGCGAUCUCGUGAGGUGGGAGGAGAUAGGUAUGGGGUUGGCCUUUGGAAAAUCAUAAGAAAGGAGUUGGACAUUUUGAGCAGCAAAAUUUCUUUUUCUAUGGGAAAUGGUCAAAGAGUAAGAUUUUUGAAGGACAAGUGGUGUGGAGCCACUUUGCAUUUCCUUUCCUUCCUUAUUUGCCCUAGCCAUUUCUAAGGAUGCAUGGGUGGCAGAUGUUUGGAACUUUGAAGGCAAAAGGGGUGGUUGGGCUCCUUGCUUCUCUAGGUCGUUUAAUGAUUGGGAGGCGGAAAGAGUGAAACACUUGUUGUUGAAGAUUCAAACAAAAAGGGCGUAUAGGGAUGAAAAAGAUAGGAUGAUUUGGAUGGCUUUGAGGUGUGGGAACUUUUCAGUUAAAUCCCUUUAUUCUACUAUGGAGCCUGGGACCCUUUAUUGUUCCCAUAGAGUAUCAUUUGGAGAUCUUAUGUGUUACUAAGGGUGGUCUUUUUCCUAUGGGUAGCGACAUGGGGGAAAGCCCUAACUUUGGAUCAGGUCCAAAUGAGGUGGUUUUCUUUGGCAAAUAGAUAUUUUCUUUGCCACUUUGAAGAAGAAAUUGUUGAUCACAUUCUUCUUUACUGUGCAAAGACGUGGAUUCUUUGAUAAUUGCUUUUUUCUCUCUUUGGUGUAUCUUAGGUCCUCUCCUUUUUCGGUUAAGGAGGCGCUCCUUGGGUGGUAUGGUCCUUUGUGGGUAAAACUCGUAUAAAGUCUUGGAUGAUGGUCUCUUUAUGUAUCUUUUGAAUGGUGUGGAAGGAAAGGAACAUGUUAGGGUUUGAUAAUGCGGAGUUGUCAUCCAAAGGAUGAAAAAUUCUUUUGUUUAUAAUUUGUGGUCUUAGUCUAGGGUGUCCGUAGAUAUGGGCCCUAGUUCUCUUGUUAGCUUUAUUGACUGGCUAGGCUCUAAGUGAAGGUGGGUGAUGUUUUUUGUUUCUCUCCCUCUCCCACUUGGGUGAACCUUUGGGUAGCUGGUGUAUAGUUCCUAUAUUCUUUGGGACGUUGUUUUGGUGUUUCCUUUUAUAUGUAUAUAUACUCUCUUACCUAUCAAAAAAAGAAGCUAGAUUGACAUGUGAGGCCUUCAAGAUAUUUAUAUCAUGAAAAGGGAUUUUCUAUUCUUAUGAUUCUUUAACUAGUUCUGAUGAGUAUCUUGUUCUGAUAAUAGAUAGUAAAAAAGGGGCGAAAAUAGAAACGGUUGUUUGACUACUUGUUUUUAGAAAACAACAUUGAAGAACAGUUAGAAAACAGUGUUUUCAGUUAACAGCAAAUUAUCUUCUGUUUUCUAUUACGUUUUUUGGGAUUGCAGAAAACCAAGAAUUAAUUAAAGGGAAGCUAAAAGCAGACAAAAUUGAGGGUGAUUAAAGAAAAGCAACCCAAAACCAAGCAAUUUACCAACCUAUAUAUGUUUUCAUGUAAAGUCAAAUGCAAAGACAGAAUCAGAGUUUGAUUUCUAAACAAUUGUUGAUCAAUGGACCCAUGAACUCACUACAACAAGGUCUGGUCAGCAAUUUAUAACUCAAAAACUCAAUUCAACCCCAUUGACCUUCUGCCUCAAGUAUCACAUAUUUCCCCUAUAGUUGUUGAGAGAAUUAAAGACAUGAAUGCAGUGUGUUGUAAUAUAGUGUUUUAUUAGAUGGCUUAUUCAAACAGAGUGUGACAUUAAUCCUUUACUAUUUUUCUCUUUUUGUAUAAUUUAUUUUGCAGGACAAGAAAAAUAAAGAAGGUAGAAUGGAAAUUCUUCCAUGAAGUUCUUCAGUGAUGUUCAAGUUACUGUCUUUACCGACAAAUCAGGCCAGAUGGAACGAGCAAUUCCCAGAAAAAGAGAAUUAUUAUGCUGGCUGACUCAAUACAGACUAUGAGUAGAAGCUUUUACAAAAGAAGAGGAGGAUGUCCUCCAAGAGAAAUGGAAAGGCAAGGCUGGAGCCUCUUGGAUCAGGAUCAAGUUCAACUGCAGAUCUAAGCAUCAAUCUGAAUGGAACUUUCUAGAGGGAAUUCCACUGAAAUACACUCAAGUAGUUGCCCUCUUUCUUCUGUCACAUAGUCCAUCCUAGAAUAAACCAAAAGAAAAGGAAAGAAAAGGAAAACCAUUAGAAAAAUAGUUUAGAGGGUGGAAUUGCCUAAACUGUAGGUUAGUAUGGAGUUUUUCUUUUCUUGCUUUUGUGAAGUUUAAGUUAGAUGCUUUUCUGUGUAUAAAGUUUACCUUAAGCUUACCUUUCUUUUCUUGCUUCUGUGAACUGAUAAGAUGCUUAUCUAUUAACUCAGUUUACUUUAUUUUCUCACUUUUAUUUGUGGGAAAUGCUUUAUUCUUUUAUGAAUGAUGUACUUUAGGAUUUGUAGUGGAAGGAUGUUCAUCUUAAUAAGAGAUAAGAGUUAACUUUUGAUGGGAA